This 468-nucleotide ribosomal RNA is filed under the name uncultured bacterium. RNAcentral describes it as "partial 16S ribosomal RNA". It matches the Rfam family "Bacterial small subunit ribosomal RNA", at positions 28 to 507 of the family's 1533-position model. The record is from RNAcentral.
GACGAACGCUGGCGGCGUGCUUAACACAUGCAAGUCGAACGGAAAGGCCCUGCUUUUGUGGGGUGCUCGAGUGGCGAACGGGUGAGUAACACGUGAGUAACCUGCCCUUGACUUUGGGAUAACUUCAGGGAACUGGGGCUAAUACCGGAUAGGAGCUCCUGCUGCAUGGUGGGGGUUGGAAAGUUUCGGCGGUUGGGGAUGGACUCGCGGCUUAUCAGCUUGUUGGUGGGGUAGUGGCUUACCAAGGCUUUGACGGGUAGCCGGCCUGAGAGGGUGACCGGCCACAUUGGGACUGGGAUACGGCCCAGACUCCUACGGGAGGCAGCAGUGGGGAAUAUUGCACAAUGGGCGGAAGCCUGAUGCAGCAACGCCGCGUGCGGGAUGACGGCCUUCGGGUUGUAAACCGCUUUCGCCUGUGACGAAGCGUGAGUGACGGUAAUGGGUAAAGAAGCACCGGCUAACUACGUG